This 569-nucleotide long non-coding RNA is filed under the name Nicotiana benthamiana. RNAcentral's name for it is "long non-coding RNA (NBEN_LNC037475)". The record is from RNAcentral. Lineage: Eukaryota; Viridiplantae; Streptophyta; Magnoliopsida; Solanales; Solanaceae.
UGUCAUUGCCAUGUUCAAGUAUUUCUCCUAAUUCACUAAAGCAUUUGGACUGAAAGCCAAUCUGAGCAAAAGUUCAGUAUACUUUGGAGGGGUUAGUGAUGAAGUACAGUAGCAGAUUACUGAUCACCUAGGUUAUGUGUAUGGAGAUUUGCCUUUCAAAUAUUUGGGCAUUCGUUCAGCAUACUUUGGAGGGGUUAGUUCUGAAGUUCAACAGCAGAUUACUGAUCACCUAGGUUAUGUGUAUGGAGAUUUGCCUUUCAAAGAUUUGGGCAUUCCUCUAUCCACCAAGAAGAUGGCAUUGAUUCAGUGGCAACCUCUGGUGGAAAAGAUCACUGCUAGGAUCACCUCAUUGACUGCUAGAAAGUUAUCAUAUGCUGGGAGGAUGCAAUUGGUACAGUCAGUGGUUUUUGGUAUACAGGCUUACUGGGCACGACUCUUCAUUAUCCCUACAAAGGUCCUAAAGCUAAUAGAAGCAGUCUGCAGAAGUUUCAUAUGGUCUGGAUCAAGUGUUAUCACUAAGAAGCCCUACAUUGCCUGGGACAAAAUGUGUUUGCCUAAGUCAGCUGGUG